GUAGGGAAUCUUGCGCAAUGGGCGAAAGCCUGACGCAGCCAUGCCGCGUGAAUGAUGAAGGUCUUAGGAUUGUAAAAUUCUUUCACCGGGGACGAUAAUGACGGUACCCGGAGAAGAAGCCCCGGCUAACUUCGUGCCAGCAGCCGCGGUAAUACGAAGGGGGCUAGCGUUGCUCGGAAUUACUGGGCGUAAAGGGAGCGUAGGCGGAUAGUUUAGUCAGAGGUGAAAGCCCAGGGCUCAACCUUGGAAUUGCCUUUGAUACUGGCUAUCUUGAGUAUGGAAGAGGUAUGUGGAACUCCGAGUGUAGAGGUGAAAUUCGUAGAUAUUCGGAAGAACACCAGUGGUGAAGGCGACAUACUGGUCCAUUACUGACGCUGAGGCUCGAAAGCGUGGGGAGCAAACAGGAUUAGAUACCCUGGUAGUCC
RNAcentral lists this ribosomal RNA (425 nucleotides) under uncultured bacterium. RNAcentral's name for it is "partial 16S ribosomal RNA". It matches the Rfam family "Bacterial small subunit ribosomal RNA", at positions 354 to 796 of the family's 1533-position model. The record is from RNAcentral.